CCCCCCCCCCCCCCCCCCCCCCCCCCCCCCCCCCCCCCCCCCCCCCCCCCCCCCCCCCCCCCCCCCCCCCCCCCCCCCCC
RNAcentral lists this unclassified non-coding RNA (80 nucleotides) under synthetic construct. Its description in RNAcentral is "RNA (80-MER) from synthetic construct (PDB 7WV3, chain E)". The record is from RNAcentral.